This 645-nucleotide ribosomal RNA is filed under the name uncultured fungus. RNAcentral describes it as "eukaryotic LSU rRNA". The stretch from base 258 to 411 matches the Rfam family "5.8S ribosomal RNA". Lineage: Eukaryota; Fungi. The record is from RNAcentral.
CUUGGUCAUUUAGAGGAAGUAAAAGUCGUAACAAGGUUUCCGUAGGUGAACCUGCGGAAGGAUCAUUAAAAAAUAUAGAAUUAAUCUUCUGUAAACCCAAUCUGCGUAUUUCUACCUGUUGCUUUCGUGAGACUGUGAACGCAAGUUCCCUCUGGCGCUGUUUUUAGGAACAGCUGUUGGGGAGUGCUCACGGGAGGUAAUUAUAAACUCUGUUUUUUUUGAAUUUUGUCUGAAUAUUGUUUAUACAUAAACUUUAAAACUUUCAACAACGGAUCUCUUGGUUCUCGCAUCGAUGAAGAACGCAGCGAAAUGCGAUAAGUAGUGUGAAUUGCAGAAUUCAGUGAAUCAUCGAAUCUUUGAACGCACAUUGCGCCUCCUGGUAUUCCGGGAGGCAUGCCUGUUCGAGCGUCAUUAAAAUCACUCAAGCUUAGGUUUACCUAUUGCUUGGUCUUGGAGAUGGAAGCCAAUUUAUUGGAAUCCUCUUCGAAAUUCAAUGGCGAAGACCCUUGCUCUCCCAAGUGUAGUAAUAACUUAUGUCACUGAAGGAAGCGAGAAAUCUUCUGCCGUAACCCCCAUAUUUUCUAUGAUUGACCUCGGAUCAGGUAGGGAUACCCGCUGAACUUAAGCAUAUCAAUAAGCGGAGGA